AUCUUUUUAGUAUAAAUAAUAUAUUUGACUUCCAAUCAAAAGAUCUUAAAGAAUAAGAAAAGAUA
RNAcentral lists this transfer RNA (65 nucleotides) under Megacopta cribriella. RNAcentral describes it as "tRNA-Gly". Lineage: Eukaryota; Metazoa; Arthropoda; Insecta; Hemiptera; Plataspidae. The record is from RNAcentral.